This 253-nucleotide ribosomal RNA is filed under the name uncultured bacterium. Its description in RNAcentral is "partial 16S ribosomal RNA". It matches the Rfam family "Bacterial small subunit ribosomal RNA", at positions 524 to 776 of the family's 1533-position model. The record is from RNAcentral.
UACGUAGGGGGCUAGCGUUGUUCGGAUUUACUGGGCGUAAAGCGCACGUAGGCGGAUCGAUCAGUCAGGGGUGAAAUCCCAGAGCUCAACUCUGGAACUGCCUUUGAUACUGUCGAUCUGGAGUAUGGAAGAGGUGAGUGGAAUUCCGAGUGUAGAGGUGAAAUUCGUAGAUAUUCGGAGGAACACCAGUGGCGAAGGCGGCUCACUGGACACGUAUUGACGCUGAGGUGCGAAAGCGUGGGGAGCAAACAGG